AAAACCCUAGUUUCGUCCUCUCUCAAUUCCGGCAGAAUUGCCGCCGAAAUGCCGCUGCUUCCUGGAGCUCGUCCGUCGUGCCGUCGACCACCGCCGACGUCUUCUCCGCUUCGACGGAACAAGGCAGCAGCAGAAGAAAUCGAGCCUUCUCUUCUGAAGAAUCGCUGCGACUUGUGUCGUCGUCGGUGUCUUCUCUCUCUCUACCUCGACGACAACGUAGGCGGACACGUAGACUGCCACGCCUCUCUCACCCUGCUCACCGCUUACUCUACUCCGUCGAGUUUUAAUCGACUCGGUCUCAAGCGGGGAUACGCCACUUAAAGG
RNAcentral lists this long non-coding RNA (324 nucleotides) under Salvia miltiorrhiza (redroot sage). RNAcentral's name for it is "long non-coding RNA (SMIL_LNC002604)". Lineage: Eukaryota; Viridiplantae; Streptophyta; Magnoliopsida; Lamiales; Lamiaceae. The record is from RNAcentral.